GACGAACGCUGGCGGCGUGCUUAACACAUGCAAGUCGGACGGUAAGGCCCUUCGGGGUACACGAGUGGCGAACGGGUGAGUAACACGUGGGUGAUCUGCCCUGCACUUCGGGAUAAGCCUGGGAAACUGGGUCUAAUACCGGAUAGGACCACUGCCUGCAUGGGUGGUGGUGGAAAGCUUUUGCGGUGUGGGAUGGGCCCGCGGCCUAUCAGCUUGUUGGUGGGGUGAUGGCCUACCAAGGCGACGACGGGUAGCCGGCCUGAGAGGGUGACCGGCCACACUGGGACUGGGAUACGGCCCAGACUCCUACGGGAGGCAGCAGUGGGGAAUAUUGCACAAUGGGCGCAAGCCUGAUGCAGCGACGCCGCGUGAGGGAUGACGGCCUUCGGGUUGUAAACCUCUUUCAGCACCGACGAAGCGCAAGUGACGGUAGGUGCAGAAGAAGGACCGGCCAACUACGUGUCAGCAGCCGCAGUAA
This 478-nucleotide ribosomal RNA is filed under the name uncultured bacterium. RNAcentral's name for it is "partial 16S ribosomal RNA". It matches the Rfam family "Bacterial small subunit ribosomal RNA", at positions 28 to 523 of the family's 1533-position model. The record is from RNAcentral.